This 378-nucleotide unclassified non-coding RNA is filed under the name uncultured Prochlorococcus sp. RNAcentral's name for it is "partial 16S-23S ribosomal RNA intergenic spacer". Lineage: Bacteria; Bacillati; Cyanobacteriota; Cyanophyceae; Synechococcales; Prochlorococcaceae. The record is from RNAcentral.
UCGUUGUGUGAUGUGAUUUAGAAUUUAAGUUUGCUGGCAGACCCUAGCUUCUUAUCAUUCCAGGUCUCAAUCAAUUGAGAUUAGGUUGAUAGGACGCUGGGCUCACUGUAAUUCGCAAGAAUUGCAGAGAUGUUCAGCAGAACCUUGACAACUGCAUAGGUAAGUCUGGAAAGAAUAAAGCAUCUCAUGGAUGCAUGAUUCUUGGGAAUCAGCUGAUGCAAUCUGCGCGAGUAGAGAGCUGAGGUUGAUGAACGAGAAUGAUGUUUGAUUCUUGAGUCAAGAGCCGAGACUCUAUAGCGUUCUUUCGAUGUCAUCGAGGCAUCGAGAGUUUGAUUGGUCAUUCAAACCAUCUUCAAUGACAAACAAUUCGGUUUAACU